This 925-nucleotide long non-coding RNA is filed under the name Ricinus communis (castor bean). Its description in RNAcentral is "long non-coding RNA (RCOM_LNC002073)". Lineage: Eukaryota; Viridiplantae; Streptophyta; Magnoliopsida; Malpighiales; Euphorbiaceae. The record is from RNAcentral.
GACAUUCCAGAACUUGAAUAUUAGAUUUUUUUUUUUUCAAUUUCUUUUACUGUAUAUUUUUGACUUUACACAUUAUUAUAAGAGAAAUACACCUGAUUUUACUCGCAAACAUAAUAUUUUUUUUCCAGAUAAAUUGAUUAUUAAAUACAUAUAAUGAAGCAAGUAUAAUUUCGUUAAAAACUUAAUUUAAAUGUAUUAAUUUUUUUUUAUGGAAUAGAAGACUUGAUUAAGAACGAAAACCAGCAUCAAACAGAACAAGUUCGGUGGACUCAUUUGGGUCCUCCUCCAACCUUAUUUGCAGCGACCAGAACAAGACGGUUUGCAUCGCGAAUCACCAUCCCCAUACUCCAUUUACCAUCCUUAUUUUUGCCCGCAUCCAUAUUCAUUUUUAUUCUUCCCUCCACAGGCGCUUCCAACGAGGCUUGAUAUUGCCAGAUUCCCUAUCCUGAACAUCCUGAGAACUAUUAGCACCUCCAAACUCUGCACAAGCUCCAUAAGCAAGAGCAAGAACAUUACCACAGCUUACCACUCUCUGUUCAUAGAUGUACAUAUUACGAGCAUACCACAGCGCCCAUAACACCAUACAAAAGAGACCCAACGACUCAUCAUCUAAUUUCUUCGCUACUAUAUCAAACCAUCAAUUAAAGGCCAAACCUGUAGAAGGACGCACAUCUAAGCCCAAGCUGGAUGCAAACCACACUUCCUUUGUUAGCUCAUAGAUGUACAUAUUACGAGCAUACCACAGCGCCCAUAACACAAUACAAAAGAGACCCAACGACUCAUCAUCUAAUUUCUUCGCUACUAUAUCAAAACCAUCAAUUAAAGGCCAAACCAGUAGAAGGACGCACAUCUAAGCCCAAGCUGGAUGCAAACCACACUUCCUUUGUUAGCUGGCAAUCUCUAAGCACAUGACAAAUGGUUUCCG